CCCUCCCUCUUUCUUCGUGCUUAACACAUGCAAGUCGAACGGAAAGGCCCUGCUUUUGUGGGGUGCUCGAGUGGCGACCGGGUGAGUAACCCGUUAGUACCCUGUCCUUGUCUUUGGGAUAGAUUCAGGCCACUGGGGCUAAUACCGGAUAGGAGUUACUGCUGCAUGGUGGGGGUUGGUAAGUUUCGGCGGUUGGGGAUGGACUCGCGGCGUAUCCGCUUGUUGGUGGGGUAGUGGCUUACCAAGGCUUUGAACGGUAGCCGGGCUGAGAGGGUGACCGGCCAAAUUGGGACUGGGAUGCGGCCCGGACUCCUACGGGAGGCAGCAGUGGGGAAGAGUGCACAAUGGGCUGAAGCCUGAUGUAGCAACGCCGCGUGGGGGAAGACGGCCAGCGGGUAGUAUUCCGCAUUCGCCUGUGACGAAGCGUGAGUGACGGUAAUGGGUAAAGAAGCACCGGCUAACUACGUG
RNAcentral lists this ribosomal RNA (468 nucleotides) under uncultured bacterium. Its description in RNAcentral is "partial 16S ribosomal RNA". It matches the Rfam family "Bacterial small subunit ribosomal RNA", at positions 36 to 507 of the family's 1533-position model. The record is from RNAcentral.